UACGUAGGGUGCAAGCGUUGUCCGGAAUUAUUGGGCGUAAAGAGCUCGUAGGCGGUUUGUCGCGUCUGCUGUGAAAAUCCAGGGCUUAACCCUGGACCUGCAGUGGGUACGGGCAGACUGGAGUGCGGUAGGGGAGAUCGGAAUUCCUGGUGUAGCGGUGAAAUGCGUAGAUAUCUGGAGGAACACCGGUGGCGAAGGCGGCAUCCUGGACCAAUACUGACGCUGAGGAGCGAAAGCCAGGGGAGCAAACGGG
Molecule: ribosomal RNA, 253 nt
Filed under: uncultured bacterium
Lineage: Bacteria
Description: partial 16S ribosomal RNA
Rfam family: Bacterial small subunit ribosomal RNA
Source: RNAcentral